Molecule: long non-coding RNA, 1292 nt
Filed under: Brassica rapa (field mustard)
Lineage: Eukaryota; Viridiplantae; Streptophyta; Magnoliopsida; Brassicales; Brassicaceae
Description: long non-coding RNA (BRAP_LNC008795)
Source: RNAcentral
CCCUAUCUUUGCACCACACUUCCAUCUUCUCUCUAACUCCUUCACAGCCUUCACAUGAUCAGUCUAAGUCUUUCCUAGACUUAACUUCUCAAGAUAACUACUUCAGAACACCUCUGAAGCUUGAUUGAACUCUUCUGGACAUCUUCUAGAGCUUGCCCUAUUAUUGUACAAGCUCUAUCUUCUCUUCAGUUCAACACUCCCCCUCAAGCUUGACUUUAGGAGAUCCUAAGCCAAGCUUGGAACUCUGAAGAGUCUCCCUCAUUAAAAACCUUACAAGGAAAACCCAUUGGGACAAAACCUUGCAAGGGAAAAAGAGUGGAGCUCUCCAAAGCCUAGGGAUUGGCCAGUGAACUCUUGUGCCUUAGAACCAGUGUGGUUGGACACAAGAAGUUCUGGAUCACGGCCUAAACUGGUGCAGCAACUCCUCAAGACUUUGCGCACUCAACAACUCAGCUUCACCUCUUCAUGGAACUGGUUUGGAUCUCCCCCUCUCAACUGACUUCACAGCCUUCUUAGAGAAGCUAGGAAAUGACCAGGUUCUUCUUUGAUGAGGCUCAAGCACUUGUACCUGAUACAUUAUCCCAAAGGUGCAUCAGUACUUAUCAAGAAACAUCACACAAUCCAUUCAAUCAUUUUAAGUAUCAUUUCUAGACUUUAGAUUUGAAAUGAUGAAUGUAUUGAAUUGAAUUGAGCUUAGGACACUUCCCUUAUUUUAGAUGAGUUCCCACUCGGCCAUUGCACCAUCUCCAUGGCAUCAUCAGCUUCUUGGAAAGGCAGAAUGGAUUCAUCAGCUUCUCAUCAAUCACUUCACCAUAGAAGCCGCUUUGAUCAGUUCACCUUCACCCUUAGACUGCCUAGAAUAACUCCGGCUGAUGAUCCUGUCUAGGAGCCUUUGCAAAGACUUGUUACUGACCAUGGAUCAUAUGCAUUAAGACUCCCCCUCAAGCUUAGAACCGUGACUAGAAGGAGCUAAGCUUGUGAUGAUCAUAUGCAUCCCCAUGGUCUUAUAACUAUCAGUCUUUCAUGAUAGCUUUCUUCUUGUGAGUUAACUCUCUUCCUUAUCUAGGAACUAGGGUGUUUGAAUCACCAUAGAGAGACUCACAAGACACACUUCUCAUUGCAUAAUGACCCAUGCUACACUUCCUGUAGUCUUUGGACUGGAUAUGUCCAAUGGUAUUAUGCAAUGGCCAUCUCUCAUUGCAUAAUCAAUCACACUACACUUCCUGUAGAUUAUGGACUAACAUGUCCUAGUGAUGAUAUGCAAUGGCACUAGACCUUUGUCUCUACAUUCU